This 109-nucleotide ribosomal RNA is filed under the name Tenacibaculum maritimum. Lineage: Bacteria; Pseudomonadati; Bacteroidota; Flavobacteriia; Flavobacteriales; Flavobacteriaceae. RNAcentral also lists the same sequence under 1 other name. The record is from RNAcentral.
UAAGGUGAUUAUAGCGAUGGGGCUCACCUCUUACCAUUCCGAACAGAGAAGUUAAGCCCAUUAGCGCCGAUGGUACUGCCACAGGUGGGAGAGUAGGUCGUUGCCUUGC